UGUUGAUAUGGAAACACUCAUUUGAAUAAGCACUGCACACACCACAACAAAUAAGAAGGGUUUUGUGCCUCUCUCUGACUAAAUAUUCCAACUGACCAUAUUCAUUCAGAGUUCCUUUUUGUCCCCACAUACAAAGCCUUUGAAACUGGAGAUAACACUAGGUCAGUAAACAUCUCCCAUAUAUUAUUCAUUUUGUUUAUGCUGUGCAUCAGCUCAGCAAUAAAAGGUCCUGGAUAAAAACAGAUUUUCUUUAACUGUUCCCUUUAUUUUUCAUCUUGAGCAUUAAAAAUGUCCUCGUGCUUCACCCAUUCAGAGCUGCCAAGGACAUUUCAACAAAGCAUGACCAGAGGACUUCUCAUAGGACAAGGAACAGAAGUAGUACCAGUUCUGGGAACAGCACACCAUCCCCAGCUUCCUACAGCAAUGAAGGGGCUCAGAAUGGCUCUGCCCUGACUUUUCUAAAUAGCUUUCAUUCACAGGUAACUGCCCUCUCAGUUGAAAUACAAAUAAGUAUUUUCAAAUGAUUAAGACUAGAGGAAUCAAAAGAUAACUGACAAAGCUAUAUCUCAGCACCAUGAAAACAAAUUGCAAAGUGUUGCAAAGAUGAAGAAAACCUUGUUCUCCUCAACAGCCUGCUUUAGUGGAGAUACGAUACUCCAUGAGUGAGUAAGUGGGGACUGAGGAGAUAAGAGAGUUGUGCCCUGCUUCCCACACAGCAGCAAGCUAAGUGCCUUGCCUCUUCCUCCUCGCAACAAGAUUGUGAGCCCUUGACCCGGAUGCAGGCACCACGUAGUUUGAAAAGUCUCAAAAGGGAUAAACCAAGUGAAAAUUGAAGGUAGGCUGCCAAGUGAGAACUCAUCCCAAGCACAGUUUAAGAAAUACUAAACAUAAGCAAAGCCACUAUUUCCAUGCAUUAAUCAUGUGGGGACGCCUUUAUAAACAUUCUCCUGAAGCUCAGACACUGCAGCUCCGGGACCACGUGUGGGAACAUAGUUGGAAUCUGGCUAGAAAGCUGAAAACUGCACUGAAAAUUUUGUCUGUAAGCGCACUGAAAACCCGAGAGAGGGAAAAGGAGUACCAGUAAAAUCUCACAGGGCAAGCAGACAUUGUUAGCUGUGCCAGGAGAGAAACAGUGCAACUGAACAUAUGGGCACUAAAACCAGGGCCAGAACAGAACGGAUUUAACAUUCUUGUAGUGGCUGCCAAAGGUGCCACUAGGCUGAUAUGGAUACCUGCUCUCACUGCUGCACAAGUGUGACUGACACAGCAAAGGAUAACACAGAUCUGAGCAAGGAGCUUCCCCAAAGCUGUAUGGAUCUCUUUGUGUGCACAGCAUGCAGCAGCAGCAGGACUGCUUCUCACCAGGGUGGGUCAUCCAGAUGGCUGCAGGCUGGGUAGGCUUUAAUCUGCAAUGAAGAAUUGCCAGUAUGGCAUAAUUACACUGGCAACCCUUGUAAGUGCAGGCAGAGCUCUAAUAAACUCAGACAGGAGUGUGGAAUGCCACCAGCUGCAAAGAGGAGGCAGUCAGUUUGGGAUGCCUCUGUGCAGGCCCUCACCUGAUGCUGCUGGCAGGAUUCAGCUGUCAUAGCCACACAGCUCCUUUCUUUGACAAAAGGCUGCUUUGCAGGCUGGCAGGAGUUCAGACAACACCAAUUAAAACUAGGAAAUGGCUGAGAGACAUAAACAUAUUGGAAAGGCUUAUUUGCAUUGAGUACAUAAGAUGUGUAACUUGGCUAGCAUGCAUGUAAGACAGCAGAAGCAUCAAUAUAAACAUGAUGCUUUCAAACCACAGUUGCUUUAAUAAUCUAAGGCACAAAGACAAUCAUUUUAAAUUUAUUAUUUAUUAUCUAACCCUAAUUUUCAAGGUGUACUCUCAGCACUCCUGUCCUUUUUCUGCACAAGGUGUACAAACUCCUCCACCUCCUGGAUCUGGAACAGUCAGGCUCACAGCUGCAGCAAGAUGCCAGUAUCCAAUCAGACUAGCACAAGCAGUUAGAAUAUACACGUGUACAUCCCCCCUUGCCUUCCCCCAGUUGGGUGAUCCACCAGAAGCACCUGCUUUAACUAGACUCUGUUGCAGACCAGAUCAAAGCAAUUGGAAUACAGAAAAGAAAUUGUCUGUAAGUCCUGCUGCCUCUGCCCACCUAUCUAGCUGAAAAUGACCAACUGCAGCCAACACCUCAUAAAAUAAGACAAGUGAAGGCAAAUCACUUCUCCACACUGCUACUUCAAGAAGUGUUUUGCCAAUACAAAUACAAUGAAAUGGAAUACACCUCAUCUUUCUUAUUUAUCCUUAUAAAUGGCCAAAAUAUCAAGCAAUCCUGAAAAAAGCACCAUGAUAAAGUAGCAAAAUCAAAAUUCAUUGUCCUCUAUUGAAGCUAUUUAUCGUCAGAGCAGUCUGAGUCAGGGACACGGCAACUGCUGAAAGACACUCAGGGUGCUGAACCAGUCUCUUUUGCAAUCUAAAUGAAUGCAACGAAUGAACCAUCACUCUCAUAGCAGAGAGGAGACAGUUCAUGCAAAUUAUCUAACUUCAGUUUUCAUUAAUAAUACACUGCUAAUCACACAGAGCUGUCUAAGUGCUUAGUACUACCGACAGAUUUAGUUUAGACUUUUGUUUAGCUACAGGACAAGCUUUCCAUACAUGCUGGAGGAGGAAAGGGAAGACUUCUUUUGGAGUUCCCUUCUUUUUUCCAGUUAUUAGAUCUGCAACACAGCAUGCUUACCAAGUGGAACAAAAAAGGGAAUAAAAGCCUACUUUCUCUUCUCUUCUGCCCCCAAAAGCCUCCCAGUAGUGAUCAUUAAAUAUCCUGUUGUUGUAGCUUUUAUCCUACAAGUUCAGCUGGAGACCUGAUUGGCAAAAGGUUUAUUGUACCUUGGUGAUCAUCAGUAGAUGCCUUGAAAUAACAGUCUAAGAUGAAUUCAAGAUUGAAUGUGUGUAUGGUAACUGCUGAGUCACAGUCUGAACUACUGAUUGAGCAGCUGGGGAAAGGACCAAGUCAGCCCUGGGAGCACAGGUGAAGGCAGUUCACCAGUUCACCUGUGUGACCAGAAGGGGUGGAGCCUGGCUGCAACUCUCUUAGACUUCAUUUAAGGACUGACUGUCACUGUGGAAUGAUCUCUGGUCAGAGAUCCCUCCCUUGUGGAGUUUCCUCUGCAAGCCUAGAUCUUCACAGACAGGUGAGCACUUUUACUUUGUAACACCUUUCCAUCAUGCUAGUCUCUUUGUCAUUACUCCUUCUGCAUCACCAUCCUAUUGUGUUGAUCUUUCUGGUUAUUACAAUGUGCCUCAGAAAAAGUGUCUACACUUCUGCCCUACCAGAAGGGAUAACUGUCUGUGAAUGCCAUCAUACAAGAUGUUCAAUGCAGGCGGCCAUAAGAAGGGAGCUGAGUGGUCUGCUUAAGUUUAAAAUGAAUUAAAGUGGACAACACUGUGCUUUAUCAGAAGAGUUACUUUCCCAUUGUAUGGCAUCUCACCAUUUUCCCAGGUUUUACCUGUACAAAAAAACAAAGAACCCAAGACAGAGAAGCAGAAAAAUCCAAAGACAUCAGGACACAGUGAGCAAGGGUUUUCAGGCAUGGUGCAAAGCAGCUUCAUUUGACACCAGCCCACAUACUAACAACACAGCAGGGACAGCACAGUUCUGAUGUCCGCACACAACACUGCCAGACCAUUCCUGACUCUGCACUACAGAAACACAGGUUCUAUUAAUACUCCUUUCCCUAGGCCACAAGCUGUAACUGCCAGUAUUAUGCAGUGGAGUUCAGUGCACGCCAUGUUCUGUCUGUCACAGACAUGUGCAAGCUGAAUCAAUAUGAUCAAUGUAACUUCUGCAACAAAUCAUCCAGUAGUUAAAGAUUUCUGUAAACUCUACAUUUUGCUAACUAGUCCUUUCUUUUCUUGUUUCAGCUUUGAUAUUGUUUGCUUUUUGCAAAUCAAAUGGGGAAAAAAUGUGCCAUGAUAUUUAAAAUGUUGUCUUUCACCUACACCAUGUAUUAAACUCUCCUUUCGGACCAGGAGGCCUGCAGAAAGCUGCAUUAGAUAGAAUACAUAGGAUAGAAGCCUUAAGAAAAGUUCAGCAGUAGCACAACUGAGCUGAUGCUGCUGAUUCCAAAGCUAACAGCAAGGCUACUGAUGAAUUCUUUGAGGGGAAAAAACGGCUGUAAGUAAAGCCUGUGUCUGCUCCUUCAGUGCCUUUCAGGCAAGGAGCUCCUUUCCUCUCCUCUCUAGCUAAUGGCUCUUUACCCUGGCACUUAGGGAAUAGGCAGCACUUGCUGAUCUUCUGGGAAGAGCCCAAGCAUCCUUUCCUGACUGCAUCCUUUUCCGAGGCAGAUUCUAAGUUCAUUUUCUUUGCCUCAGAUAACAACUUAAUGGUUACCCCGUAAGAAGAUUAACUCUUGAAAGUGUAUUAAGACAGUGAAGACUAUGAGAGAAGCAAAACAAAAGCAAGAUCAAAGUAAAUCCAAAGUAAGCAUACAACCAUCCCUUCCCUAAGGGCAGAAGAACCAACCUCACAAAGCUUACUGCAGAGCUCGCAGAGGACUCACCCACCAUCUUCUCUCAAUCUGGAAGGUCCCUGCUGAAGACAAAUGACCUGUUGGUGGCAUGGCAACUGCAGACUGCCAAGAGAGAUCUGCACCAGGUUUGGCUCCAGAGAGAAGAUUUUCUUUGCAAACACAUUGCAAAGAAAUAUCAGGAUCAUACAACAGAAGACACCAGUUUUCCACUCAGACUUUACAACAUCCUGGGAAAUACAGCAGGUGGGUACCCAGGAUCAGCCUGCUUUUCCAACAGCAUGUGAUGGAACUGCUGCUGAGUGGAGACACAGCUUCUCAAGAUGCACAAAGUUAAAGAUCCCUGGAGUUGAAGACUGAAAUUGGGUAAAAAGAUACUCCUAGUUAUGUUGCUCUGUCGCUUUAUGGAAGAGCUCCACUUCCAGAAGAAUACAACCUGGCUUUAUUCGAAGGACUGGAGUUUUUUCCUCAGCUGAUCUCUGGUACAACUAUUCCUUCCUCAAUACCCAUCUCCUAACCAAACACAUCACUAAGCGAAGUCCGAAUCUGAAGCUUACCUGAUCUUUCUCAGGCUUGUCAGAGAUGUCAUUCAGACUGGUGGAAGUCAGAUUUCUGUGAGUCAUGGCUGGACUGCCUGUAAGAACAAUGCCAAUACCAAUUAAAGCACCUAUUUAAAUCCAGUCAGAAGAACACAGAGGCUCAGGCUACAGCAACACCUUUCCUUGCAUGUGGGAAGUUGAUGUGGGCAAUUUAAGACCAUGACAGGCUGCUUUCUGUAACUUCACGUGGCACAUGGGAUAGAAAAAUUCUAAACCUUGUUCACCUCUGACCCAAAGCAUUCUCACAGCUCAUAGGACUGCAAAAAAAUAUCUAAGGACAUCUCCUAAUUCCUGUCUGGGUUGGCGGGGAAGCAAAGUAGCAACUGGCUGCUGAAAGAGGCAACUGGGUCACCCAUUCUUUACAGAACAGGGGGACACUCCCUUCUUGCUGCCAACCUUUUGCCACAGCUAUCCUACAGAGAUGCUAUCUGCCUGCAUUCUUCUGCACCCAAUACUUCAGCUCACAGGAGGAAGGUUGGCAGCUCUUGGUCUUUUGAAACAGCAGAUAACAAAAUUCUACUUUUCUACCACUAGCCAUAUUAAAUAAACUCAUGAACCUUAGGGGUUUUACUGUUUGAAACAACACAUGUGUCAAAUCAAUAGGCAAAAAAGUCUCCAGUUCCUAACACCAGAUACUUCAGAGAGAAAGAAAAGUACUGGAGAACAAGAGCUAAAGCCUUUAAACUCCACUUCUCUCUCAAAGGCCAGCUGCUCCUCUAAGCUUGACAUGAUGGCAUUCAAUCACUGCUUACUCUCUUUUGGAUUACUUUUGCUAUUUACUCUUAUGUUCUCAAAGAGUAGCUGACUAUAUGAAAAUAGUUCUAAAGGACUUGCAAGAAAAUCUAGAAAUAGCCAUAAUCACGAAAGAAGAAAAAUCAUAGAAUAGCAAAGAAACUUCUGGGAUGGAUACAAAAUCCCAACACUCAGCAAUCAGCAUGCUCUUUAAUAAUUGUUCUGAAAUUUUUCACCCUUCUCCCAGAAACCAGAAGCAUAGCAACAGGAGCUCUUACCAGUGUUUCUGAUCAUGAGCAUAAUUGGAAAGAGAGAAAACACUCAGAAAGAAAUUGCACUGAGGCACUUCCCAAAUUCUGAGAUAUCUCUAGGCUAGUGUAUGUUUUGAGAAAACAUUGAUUAAACUUAUGGUUUGAUAUUCAUAACAAAAUGAAAGUUCAAAUUUUCAGCAACUCCCACAGAGAAAUGAACUUGGUAAUAUAUCUGAAUAUCAAGAAAUAGGUAAUAAUUAUAUAAAAUAACAACUAAUAAAUACAAGGAGUCAUAAGAUCUGGACAACCCCCCCCCUCUCUGUUCCCCCCAGAAAGGAGAUAUUGUUUUCCUUACAAUAUGUUUCAUAUAUACAGAGACGGAUUUAUGAUAUUCUUUCUCAUGAGCCACUCUGAAUCACAGUAUAUGCUGUGCAUUAUUGCCACAUCCAGGAAUGAUGACACAGCAAAAACGAAGCACAAGUGUAUCUUAUAAAAGGAAGAUCCUCAGAUUUUUCUUCUUCAUGUUGUUACUGCUUGCCAGGCUUAAGACCCCACCUAUAUCUACUAAGUUCUUACAAAUGUGUUUAUUCAUAGCAUGAGAAACGCCACUUGAAGGACUGGUUUAAGUUACAUUUAUAAGUAACCAUUCUCCUAAUUAUUAGCAAGCCAAACUUAGAAAUAUUUACAGCACUUGAUUGACUGUUUGAUAUGAAUCUGUACAGAGGAGAUAAGCAUGUAUGCAAAACAGGAAAAAAGCAAUUAAACUUGUUUAUGUACAUUGCAUCUCUUACGUGGAAAAGACGUUACUUUGUGUUUCUAAAAAGGUGUACGUAACACU
Long non-coding RNA from Centrocercus urophasianus (Greater sage-grouse), 6935 nucleotides. RefSeq lists it as uncharacterized. The record is from RefSeq and is a predicted model, not a curated record. The transcript is spliced from 4 exons. Lineage: Eukaryota; Metazoa; Chordata; Aves; Galliformes; Phasianidae.